UGCAGAGCCCUGGGCCUCACCGGAAGGAACAGGGCCACCUCCGUGUGGACUCAGACACCACCCUGCCCUGCAGGGUCGGCAGAAGGUGGAAGGCAAUGGAGAGGCUCUGGGGGCCCGGGUGGGAACCGGCCCAACGCUUCUUCGGACGCCGGAGCCCUCAGCCUCCCCACCACGAAGUGCCAGGUGAGCAGUGAGCAAGGGAGGCCCGGGGCUCACGGACGGGCCCGCGUUGUGUGGAGAGCGUGAGCGGCCCCCACUUGCACUGUGUGAGAGGAAGGAAGGCUUGGCACCACCUAGAGGAAGCGAAGACUGCCUCAGGAAUGACUGUGCCUUGCCUUCCAGAAAUUACAGUAAGAACAGGCCUCCUGAGACCCACAGCUUGGACCCAUAGCCCCUGAGCAGCGGGUGGCUGCAGGCCACGUGCCUCAGUGGACACUGGCAGCCUCGUUUGCCCCGGGACAGCCUCCCCAGCACUGCAGACGCCAGGUGGUACACAGACCCUCCCGUGAUCCAGGCUGUGACCCGCCCCUGCCCCCCGCCCCCCACGCCCUCCCAUCUGCACCCGGGAGCGCUGGCCCGUGGGAAGUCACCUGGCAAGGGGGAUCCCAAAUGCGGUCCCCCGGCCGGCUGGAGUUGGUGGGUCAGCGGUCCGGGGUGGGCCCGGACACCACAGCGUGCACACUUGCGGUCUGCCCAGCUGCUGGACUCCCCAGCGCCCCUGGCCGGGCACCUGCAGAGCAGAACGUGUUCCCACCACGCUGCUGCUGGGGACCCCACGACCAGGUUUCUGCCACAGAAUGAGGCCGGUGGCUGUGAGCCCUUAAGCCCUUGGUCCGAGGAGCAAGUUCAGGCUUUGACAAGAGUGUCACCAUGUCCUCAGGAAAGUGCUGUUCAUGUGGGGCCAAGGACCAUCUUGCAAGCUUUUGUUACCAGAACUUUCAUCAAAAACCCUCGUUCUGGCCCACGGGAGGCCACCUGUGCGGACGGACACAGAAGACCUCCACCAAUCACCUGAGCGUUCCUCAUGACCCCUGACGGUGAAUGCCACGUGCGAGGGUUUGCCGCCACGUACUCGUGACUUUGAGCCAGCCGGCCUCCGUGUGGUGUUUGGGAGUGUGCACCUGUGCUCAGGUGUGUCCAGCAGUGAACGUUGUGAACCAGACUUGUGGGUCGAGUGUACGGAACCGUGAAAGACUCCCUCUCCUGGGAAUGCUCCCUCGAAACCAAAGGGAAGGGGGAACACCUGGAGGGCCGGGAGGCCCGCUCGUUGCUGACGGAUGCCGAUGUGCCGUCGGACUGCAAGUCUGCAGACCCGGGCCUGGUCAUCGGUCAGGCGGCCGCCCCUCUCCUGCAGUGCCCGUUCCCAGCAAAGGCUGCCUGGGAAGGAGGAAGAGAGCACUUUCCAGAGACUCAGCAAAGAGGAAGUGCCCUGGACACGCGGCCUAA
RNAcentral lists this long non-coding RNA (1446 nucleotides) under Felis catus (domestic cat). RNAcentral's name for it is "lncRNA (ENSFCAG00000046260.2)". Lineage: Eukaryota; Metazoa; Chordata; Mammalia; Carnivora; Felidae. The record is from RNAcentral.